GAUGCCUUGGCACUAGAAGCCGAUGAAGGACGUUACUAACGACGAUAUGCUUUGGGGAGCUGUAAGUAAGCUUUGAUCCAGAGAUUUCCGAAUGGGGAAACCCAGCAUGAGUUAUGUCAUGUUAUCGAUAUGUGAAUACAUAGCAUAUCAGAAGGCACACCCGGAGAACUGAAACAUCUUAGUACCCGGAGGAAGAGAAAGAAAAUUCGAUUCCCUUAGUAGCGGCGAGCGAAACGGGAAGAGCCCAAACCAACAAGCUUGCUUGUUGGGGUUGUAGGACACUCUAUACGGAGUUACAAAGGACGACAUUAGACGAAUCAUCUGGAAAGAUGAAUCAAAGAAGGUAAUAAUCCUGUAGUCGAAAAUGUUGUCUCUCUUGAGUGGAUCCUGAGUACGACGGAGCACGUGAAAUUCCGUCGGAAUCUGGGAGGACCAUCUCCUAAGGCUAAAUACUCUCUAGUGACCGAUAGUGAACCAGUACCGUGAGGGAAAGGUGAAAAG
Molecule: ribosomal RNA, 501 nt
Filed under: Staphylococcus aureus
Lineage: Bacteria; Bacillati; Bacillota; Bacilli; Caryophanales; Staphylococcaceae
Description: partial 23S ribosomal RNA
Rfam family: Bacterial large subunit ribosomal RNA
Source: RNAcentral